GGAAGGAAAAGUCGUAACAAGGUCUCCGUUGGUGAGCCAGCGGAGGGAUCAUUACCGAGUUUACAACUCCCAAACCCAAUGUGAACCAUACCAAACUGUUGCCUCGGCGGGGUCACGCCCCGGGUGCGUCGCAGCCCCGGAACCAGGCGCCCGCCGGAGGGACCAACCAAACUCUUUCUGUAGUCCCCUCGCGGACGUUAUUUUUACAGCUCUGAGCAAAAAUUCAAAAUGAAUCAAAACUUUCAACAACGGAUCUCUUGGUUCUG
This 266-nucleotide unclassified non-coding RNA is filed under the name plant metagenome. Its description in RNAcentral is "partial contains small subunit ribosomal RNA, internal transcribed spacer 1, and 5.8S ribosomal RNA". The stretch from base 1 to 54 matches the Rfam family "Eukaryotic small subunit ribosomal RNA", at positions 1778 to 1831 of the family's 1831-position model. The record is from RNAcentral.